Molecule: long non-coding RNA, 669 nt
Organism: Trichomycterus rosablanca
Lineage: Eukaryota; Metazoa; Chordata; Actinopteri; Siluriformes; Trichomycteridae
Exons: 3
Source: RefSeq, a predicted model, not a curated record
UCCUUCUGUGGCUGCCAAGUUUCCGUAAGACAUAAAAAAAUCCAGUUUAUGAUCUAUGAUGAAGUCAUUAACCAUAGAAGCCUUGUUAGUAAUGGAUCUGAUGUUGAAAAGACCAAAUUUGUGAGAAGACGUGUGCAUGUUUACAUGGAAUUUAGCCAGUGGAAUUAGCACACUGUGGUCUACACAUCUGACGGAGCUCUUUGAGCCCCGUGAACCUGCAGACCAGAAAGUAGAGAUAGUCCCAGUAUCACCGCCACUAAACCUGAGAUUACGACGAGAUCCACGGUGAAUGUACUUUGGACGCCGGAGAGGAACAUCUUCAUGGAACUGAAGUUCUUGCAGAGAUUUAACCAAAUGCAACAAGGUUGAUUGGACGCCGCUUCACAGUACAGUUGGACAAUGACCCAAAACAUACUGCGAAAGCAACCCAGGAGGCAAAGAAGUGGAAUAUUCUAGCCAGCAUUUUUCAGCAACAAUGUGGGCAACAGGCGCAGCCAAACUUAAGUCACUUUACCAUCGCCUCUAUAAAAAGAACUUUUAGGGAGGAAAACAGGACUCUGAGAUGACCACCUGGUGGAGGCAGGCUAAGGUUUUUGUCAGUACAUUGCCAACAAUGUACUGUUGCUGUUAGCGCUGUUGCACUAUAGUAAUGAAAUAAAAUGCAUCAAA